Non-coding RNA from Paramuricea clavata, 423 nucleotides. The record is from the annotation of a GenBank genome assembly. Lineage: Eukaryota; Metazoa; Cnidaria; Anthozoa; Malacalcyonacea; Plexauridae.
AGAAAUCGUACAUCAAUAUCACGCAGGUAGUUAAUGAAGGAUCACUGACAACGACAAUGAAGCCAAGAAGUCUUUCUGGUGAAGAUGGGUCAGAGUAAAUGCAUGAACCAUAGUUAUGUUAGUUCGCCUUUUUCACACUUCUAAAUAUUCUCGGCAGUCAAGUGACACUAUAAGUAAUUAAUAUCCCUCGAAGACAAUAAGCAAGUUUGAAAAUUUACGGCGUUUUAGCUAUAGACACACGGAUUGCUGUAUAUUGAUAUAAGAAAUACAUAUAUACGUGUUACACUUAUAAAGAAAUCGAGGUUGAUUUUGUAAAUGGUGCAGUUUCUUUUGUUUUACCUGCGUCAUAUAUACUCUAUACCUUUUGUAUGUUAAUAUAUUAACUCUUCACUUAAACUUUUUUGGGACAUAUUUGUUGGAUUU